This 447-nucleotide ribosomal RNA is filed under the name uncultured bacterium. Its description in RNAcentral is "bacterial SSU rRNA". It matches the Rfam family "Bacterial small subunit ribosomal RNA", at positions 355 to 825 of the family's 1533-position model. The record is from RNAcentral.
UCGGGAAUUUUGUGCAAUGGGCGAAAGCCUGACACAGCAACGCCGCGUGAAGGAUGAAGUCCCUCGGGAUGUAAACUUCGUAAGAAUAGGAAGAAUAAAUGACGGUACUAUUUGUAAGGUCCGGCUAACUACGUGCCAGCAGCCGCGGUAAUACGUAGGGACCAAGCGUUGUUCGGAUUUACUGGGCGUAAAGGGUGCGUAGGCGGCAUAUCAAGUCACUUGUGAAAUCUCCGGGCUUAACUCGGAACUGCCAAGUGAUACUGAUGUGCUAGAGUGCAGAAAGGGCAACUGGAAUUCUUGGUGUAGCGGUGAAAUGCGUAGAUAUCAAGAGGAACACCUGAGGCGAAGGCGAGUUGCUAGGCUGACACUGACGCUGAGGUACGAAAGCUAGGGGAGCAAACAGGAUUAGAUACCCUAGUAGUCCCUGAGCGGGCUGGCAAGGCGCAU